This 374-nucleotide ribosomal RNA is filed under the name uncultured bacterium. Its description in RNAcentral is "bacterial SSU rRNA". It matches the Rfam family "Bacterial small subunit ribosomal RNA", at positions 527 to 898 of the family's 1533-position model. The record is from RNAcentral.
GUAGGGCGCGAGCGUUGUCCGGAUUUAUUGGGCGUAAAGAGCUCGUAGGCGGCUCAUUGCGUCAACCGUGAAAACCAGCAGCUCAACUGUUGGCUUGCGGUUGAUACGGGUGGGCUGGAGUUCGGUAGGGGAGACUGGAAUUCCUGGUGUAGCGGUGAAAUGCGCAGAUAUCAGGAGGAACACCGGUGGCGAAGGCGGGUCUCUGGGCCGAUACUGACGCUGAGGAGCGAAAGCGUGGGGAGCGAACAGGAUUAGAUACCCUGGUAGUCCACGCUGUAAACGUUGGGCGCUAGGUGUGGGGGGCCUCUCCGGUUUCCUGCGCCGUAGCUAACGCAUUAAGCGCCCCGCCUGGGGAGUACGGCCGCAAGGCUAAA